RNAcentral lists this ribosomal RNA (636 nucleotides) under Saccharomyces cerevisiae (brewer's yeast). Its description in RNAcentral is "partial large subunit ribosomal RNA". It matches the Rfam family "Eukaryotic large subunit ribosomal RNA", at positions 64 to 664 of the family's 3401-position model. The record is from RNAcentral. Lineage: Eukaryota; Fungi; Ascomycota; Saccharomycetes; Saccharomycetales; Saccharomycetaceae.
ACAUCACGGAUUGCCUUAGUACGGCGAGUGAGCGGCAAAGCUUCCAAUUUUGAAAUUCCUGGUACCUUCGGUGCCCGAGUUUGUAAUUAUGGAGAGGGCAACUUUGGGGCCGUUCCUUGUCUAUGUUCCUUGGAACAGGACGUCAUAGAGGGUGAGAAUCCCGUGUGGCGAGGAGUGCGGUUCUUUGUAAAGUGCCUUCGAAGAGUCGAGUUGUUUGGGAAUGCAGCUCUAAGUGGGUGGUAAAUUCCAUCUAAAGCUAAAUAUUGGCGAGAGACCGAUAGCGAACAAGUACAGUGAUGGAAAGAUGAAAAGAACUUUGAAAAGAGAGUGAAAAAGUACGUGAAAUUGUUGAAAGGGAAGGGCAUUUGAUCAGACAUGGUGUUUUGUGCCCUCUGCUCCUUGUGGGUAGGGGAAUCUCGCAUUUCACUGGGCCAGCAUCAGUUUUGGUGGCAUCCAUAGGAAUGUAGCUUGCCUCGGUAAGUAUUAUAGCCUGUGGGAAUACUGCCAGCUGGGACUGAGGACUGCGACGUAAGUCAAGGAUGCUGGCAUAAUGGUUAUAUGCCGCCCGUCUGAAAAAAGGGGACCAAAAAAAUAAAAAAAAAAGAAAAAAAAAAAAAAAAAAAAAAAAAAAAAACG